This 468-nucleotide ribosomal RNA is filed under the name uncultured bacterium. RNAcentral's name for it is "partial 16S ribosomal RNA". It matches the Rfam family "Bacterial small subunit ribosomal RNA", at positions 28 to 507 of the family's 1533-position model. The record is from RNAcentral.
GACGAACGCUGGCGGCGUGCUUAAUACAUGCAAGUCGAACGGAAAGGCCCUGCAUUUGUGGGGUGCCCGAGUGGCGAACGGGUGAGUAACACGUGAGUAACCUGCCCUUGACUCUGGGAAAACUUCAGGAAACUGGGGCUAAUACCGGAUAGGAGCUCCCGCUGCAUGGUGGGGGGUGGAAAGUUUCGGCGGUUGGGGAUGGUCUCGCGGCUUAUCAGCUUGUUGGUGGGGUAGUGGCGGACCAAGGCGUUGCCGGGUAGCCGGACUGAGAGGGUGACCGGCCACAGUGGGACUGGGGAAGGGGCCAGAGUGAUACGGGGGGCAGGGGUGGAAAACAUUGCACAAUGGGCGGAGGCAUGAUGCAGCAACGCCGGGUGCGGGAUGACGGCCUUCGGGUUGUAAACCGCUUGCGCGUGUGACGAAGAGUGAGUGACGGUAACGGGUAAGGAAGCACCGGCUAACUACGUG